UCCCCUAAGAAGCCUUCUCUGACCACUCCAGGGCACAAUGAUCUCAAGGUUCAGCAUCUCCAGAGAUGAGCUUUCCAAAUACCUGAUGAAGAUAUGCAUGUUGUUGGCUAUUUAAACUACUCCUUAUAGGAGCAUGUUCUUUGGAAAGUUCAGGAUGAAACUUUAGGAAAGAAGAACAAGCCAUUGCAUCAUGUACUAUGCCUUCAUGCCAGAGGAAGGAAGCAAACACAGCUCUGGCACAUUCGGCCACAGAAGGAGACAUGGCUUGCUUGGCUGGCUCUAAAGGCUUGGAUCCAUCUCCUUUGAAAAGAAAACUCGAUUUUUCUUUUUUGGGCCUGGUGUGUCUAUUAGCACAUUUUCGACUUAUUUUGGGAGAUGCUCUCAUUUCCUGUUCAUCUUUCAGUGGUGCUUUUCCAAUGCUAAAAUGAACUUUAUUUGAACCUUCAUCCACACUCUUAAAUUCACUGCUGUCAUCGCAGGUGCUGUCUGUUAGACUAUUUGUUUUUAAAGUACUUGAGGUGCAGACUUCGACCACCUCACUGUGGAGGUUUUCCUGUACCACAUGGGGAGAGGGAGCUCUAUUUUCAGAUCCAGGGGAAUCUGUAGAAUCCUUUGGUACUGAUUUUGGUUUUGGUGACGUUGACCGUCCUCUCAAAGGUUCUGUGAGGGGCAUUUUCUUCUUGCGGAGGGUAUCUGGAUCAAGUGUGUAAGAGUCUG
This is a long non-coding RNA of Homo sapiens (human), 717 nucleotides long. Ensembl annotates it as MYCBP2 antisense RNA 1. Its record names the gene MYCBP2-AS1. The record is from Ensembl. Lineage: Eukaryota; Metazoa; Chordata; Mammalia; Primates; Hominidae.